RNAcentral lists this long non-coding RNA (2970 nucleotides) under Capsicum annuum. RNAcentral's name for it is "long non-coding RNA (CANN_LNC005822)". Lineage: Eukaryota; Viridiplantae; Streptophyta; Magnoliopsida; Solanales; Solanaceae. The record is from RNAcentral.
CAAAGGAUGAGCUUUAGCUAAGGUGAUACCAAACUUCUCCUCCAUGUCUAAAUCUUUUGGUUCAAUGUCUGCCUCAAGCUUCCAAUUGAAGGAAUUUAAGAGUGAGCCCAAUAUUACUGGAACCGUUCUCAAUGCUAGUGGUAAGCCAGGACAUAUUCUUCGACCAGCACUAAAUGGAAUCAAAUCAAAAUCUUGUCCUCGCACGUCCUUAUCCGAACUCCAAAACCUAUCUGGUUUAAAUGCUAAAGGGUCCUCCCAAAAAGUAAGAUCUCGACCAAUUGCCCAAACAUUUACUAGAAUCUGUGAGUAAAAGCAUCAAUAAGCGAGUAAGAUUAUAUUUGGAUGAAUCAAAAGGGCUAAAUCAAUAAAUAGGCCGGCUGAGCGAAUUGAACAAAUCAUAUUUUUAUCAUCCAUACCUGUGAAUCCUUCGGGAUGAUGUAAUCACACAAUUCAACAUCUUGUUCCACUCUGCGCGGAAUUAAGAACGGAAGUGGUGGAUGCAUUCUUAAGGUUUCUUUGAUGAUGCAUUGCAAGGAAGGGAGUCGAGAAACAUCAGCUUCUUCAAUUGAUUUUCCUUUACUAAUGAUUUCUGCAAGUUCAGCUUGAGCUUUCUUCAUUAUCUCAGGUUGUUCAAGUAUUUCUGUCAUUGCCCACUGCAAUGUGCUUGUAGUUGUAUCUGUAGCCCCCGUAAUUAAGUGCUACAUAAUUUAUAUGCAAAUUAUAUAACCAUAAAUUUGAGUAAUAAAAAACCCUAUAAAUUACAGUAGUUAAAAGAAACUAUAAUAUAUCUGUUCACAAAUCACCAUAACAAAGAAUCUAACAUACUAAUUGCACAAUAAUUAAAUCAUCUUGAACAAAAUACACCAUGUUCAACAUGGUAAAGGGAAAAAACAAGAAUCUAUUAAUACUAUAAAAUAGAUGUCUGCAUAUACCUUGGAUGAUUAUAUACAAGAAAAGGAUAGUUCGGUGCACUAGAGCUCCCGCUAUACGCAGGGUCCAGGGAAUGGCCCACCACAAAGGUGUAUUGUACAUAGCCUUACCUUGCAUUUCUGCUAGAGGCUGUUUCCAAAGCUUGAACCCGUGACCUCCUGAUCACGUGACAACAAUUUUACUAGUUACUCCAAGGCUUCCCUUUGUUGGAGUCCCACAUCGGUGGGUUAAAGGGUCCUUGGUCUCCUUAUAAGGCUUGGGCAAUCCACCUUCUCAUGAGCUAGCUUUUGGGGUGUGAGUUAGGCCCAAGACCAAUUUGCAAUUAUUCUAUCUUGGAUUAUGAACUCUGUUAGUGUUGAAUUAUUUUGUGGUAUGGUAUAUGCCUCGAGUGCUCAUAAAGUUUGGGUAUUUUUCUAUGUUGGCUUAUGAACUCUGUUAGUGCUGAACUGUUGUGUGGUAUGGUAUAUGCCUUGAGUGCUCAUAAAGUUUGGGUAGAUCUACAGAAGAGAUUUGAUAAAGUGAAUGGCUCUCGAGUUCUGUUUCUACAUAAAGAAAUUGUCACUUUAACUCGAGGCAUGCCUCGAGUGCUCAUAAGUUUGGGUAGAUAUAGAGGAGUGAUUUGAUAAAGUGAAUGGCUCUCGGAUUCUUUUUCAGUAUAAAGAAAUUGCUACUUUAACUUGAGGCAUUUCUUCGGUCUCUGCCUAUUUCUCCAAAUUGAAAGAGUUUUGGGCAGAAUUUGAUGCUCUUAUGCCAUGUCCUGGUUGUAAUUGUGCUGAGUCCAGGAAAUAUGUUGAACAUUUCGAUGACCAACGGUUAUUGCAGUUUUUAAUGGGAUUAAAUGAGUCUUAUUCUCAAUCAAGAAAUCAGAUCUUAAACAUGUCUCCUAUUCCAUCUAUUAACAAAGAUAACUCUACGAUUAUCUCUGAAGAGAGUAGAAGGAACGUGACUUAGUAUCAUGUGUUUGAUCUAAGUGAGGGUACAACUAUGCUAUCUAGUGUGAAAGGCAAGGAUGUACUUGUUCCUACCUAUGGUUUUACUCAGAAUGCAGCUUUACUCACUAACAGUAAAGGCAAAAGUGUGCAUAUGCCUGGCCAUGGCUUUAAUGAUGCCUCUGGCUUAAGUAACAGGAGUAACAACUCUCAGCAAAUUAGUGGUUAUAGUGGAGGCACUAGAGCCACAAGCUAUGGUUCUAAUUACAGACUUAAGAAGAAUCAUCUAUAUUGUGAUUUUUGUCACUUUAAAAGUCACACCAGAGAUCAUUGUUAUAAAUUGCAUGGAUAUCCCAAUGACUACAAAUAGAAGAAGAGGUUUGGUGCUAACAAUAUGUCUAGUAAUGCAGCUUGCUACUCACCUGGUGCUUCUAGUAGUGCAGGUACAAACCAAGCAAGUACUUACCCUGAAGGUACUUCUUAAAUGCACCCUGGUCCUAGUGCUAAUGGGCUCAUCUCCAGCAUUCCCCAAUUCACUCAAGACCAGUACAAUUAACUUCUUCAAUUGCUUUGAAAAGAAGCAGAUACUACCGAUUCCCCUGUGACAGCAGGUAUGACAACUUCUGCCGUAGCUGGUGGUGUGUUCAAUACCUCUAAAAAAUGGAUAGUUAACUCUGGUGCCUCCGCUCAUAUGGUUAAUACCCUCAAUCUUCUCACAGAUCCUAAAAUCAUUGACAGUAUCAAAUAUGGUAAAGUAUACUUACAAAAAAUAAGUAUAGCCUAUGUGAAACAUGUAGGAUUAGCUUGCAUUCUUCAAGGGCAAAAGAUAACAAAUAUUAUGCACAUUCCUGAAUUCAACUAUAAUUUGAUGUCUGCCUCUAAAUUGACUAAAGAGUUGAGAUGGGUUGUGUUGUUCUAUCUUGAUUUUUGUAUAUUUCAGGAUCUCUUAAGUGGUCAGGUGAAGGGAAUUGGUAAAUAAGAUGACGGACUAUAUGUGAUAACAACUGGAAACAUGAUUGAUAUUCAAGAUGAGACUAAAGGUGUUACAAGAGUCACUCAGGCUUCUGUGAUGAAUAAACAACAAGAUUCCGUAUUGUGGCAUAGAAGACUA